Molecule: ribosomal RNA, 1923 nt
Filed under: human gut metagenome
Description: bacterial LSU rRNA
Rfam family: Bacterial large subunit ribosomal RNA
Source: RNAcentral
AACCCCGGGAGGGGAGUGAAAGAGAACCUGAAACCUUAUGUUUACAAACAGUCGAAGUUUUUCGGAACGACGGCGUACUUUUUGUAGAACGGUCCGGCGAGUUGCAGUGACAUGCGAGGUUAAGGAGUACAGCUCCGGAGCCGAAGGGAAACCAAGUCUUAACUGGGCGUCUAGUAUGUUAAUGCAGACCCGAAACCGGGUGACCUAUCCAUGGGCAGGUUGAAGUUACCGUAAAAGGUAAUGGAGGACCGAACUCACAUCUGUUGAAAAAGGUGGAGAUGACCUGUGGAUAGCGGAGAAAUUCCAAUCGAACUCGGAGAUAGCUGGUUCUCCUCGAAAUAGCUUUAGGGCUAGCCUUGAGGUAAAGUCUAAUGGAGGUAAAGCACUGAUUGGACGCGGGUCCCCAAAAGGAUACCAACUUCUAUCAAACUCAGAAUGCCAUAUAGAUAUACUCAGGAGUCAGACUAUGUGAGAUAAGUUUCAUAGUCAAAAGGGAAAGAGCCCAGACCGACAGCUAAGGUCCCAAAGUGUGUGUUAAGUGGAAAAGGAUGUUAGGUUUCUAAGACAACUAGGAUGUUGGCUCAGAAGCAGCCACUCAUUUAAAGAGUGCGUAACAGCUCACUAGUCGAGAGGUCUAGCGCCGAAAAUGUCCGGGGCUAAAACACACCACCGAAGCUACGGAAUUACCUAUGGUAAUUGGUAGAGGAGCAUUCUGUAAGGACGAAGCACAAUUGAAAGAGAGUGUGGACGAAACAGAAGAGAGAAUGCCGGAAUGAGUAGCGAGAUAUAUGUGAGAAUCAUAUAGGUCGAAUGUCUAAGGUUUCCUGGGUAAAGCUGAUCUGCUCAGGGUAAGUCGGGACCUAAGGUGAGGGCGAGAGCCGUAAUCGAUGGACAACAGGUAGAAAUUCCUGUACUACGUAUAAUCAGAACUGUGGGGACGCAGGAGGAUAGGAAAACCGGAGAAUGGAAAAAUCCGGCUAAGUACAAAGGUGUGAGUGAUAGGCAAAUCCGUCACUAUAAGCUGAAGUACGAAUGGGAGCGAAGAAAAGUAGCGAAGUUUCUGAAUCCACACUGUCAAGAAAAGCCGCUAUUGCGUUAUACGUACCCGUACCGCAAACCGACACAGGUAGACGAGGAGAAAAUCCACAGACCGACGGGAGAAGUGUUGUUAAGGAACUCGGCAAAAUGACCCCGUAACUUAGGGAUAAGGGGAGCCAACGCAAGUUGGUCACAGAAAAGAGGCUCAAGCGACUGUUUAGCAAAAACAUAGGUCUAUGCGAAACCGUAAGGUGAUGUAUAUGGGCUGACACCUGCCCGGUGCUGGAAGGUCAAAAGGAGAGGUUAGCGUAAGCGAAGCUUUGAAUUCAAGCCCCAGUAAACGGCGGCCGUAACUAUAACGGUCCUAAGGUAGCGAAAUUCCUUGUCAGGUAAGUUCUGACCCGCACGAAAGGUGUAACGAUUUGAGCACUGUCUCGACAACACGCCCGGUGAAAUUGAAGAACCAGUGAAGAUACUGGUUACCCGCAACAGGACGGAAAGACCCCAUGGAGCUUUACUGCAGCUUAAUAUUGGGAUUCGGUAUUGUAUGUACAGGAUAGGAGGGAGACUAAGAAGCUAGCACGCCAGUGUUGGUGGAGUCGAUGGUGGGAUACCUCUCUUAUAAUACUGAAUUUCUAACCUACUUCCGUGAUCCGGAAGAGGGACAUUGUUAGGCGGGCAGUUUGACUGGGGCGGUCGCCUCCGAAAGAGUAACGGAGGCGCUCAAAGGUCUUCUCAGAAUGAUUGGAAACCAUUCAAAGAGUGUAAAGGCAAAAGAAGGCUUGACUGCGAGAGUGACAACUCGAGCAGGUACGAAAGUAGGACUUAGUGAUCCGGUGGUAACAAGUGGGAGUGCCAUCGCUUAACGGAUAAAAGCUACCCUGG